This 253-nucleotide ribosomal RNA is filed under the name uncultured bacterium. Its description in RNAcentral is "partial 16S ribosomal RNA". It matches the Rfam family "Bacterial small subunit ribosomal RNA", at positions 524 to 776 of the family's 1533-position model. The record is from RNAcentral.
UACGAAGGGGGCGAGCGUUGUUCGGAUUUACUGGGCGUAAAGGGCGCGCAGGCGGCUAUCCAAGUCAGGCGUGAAAGCCCCGGGCUUAACCUGGGAGGUGCGUCUGGGAUUGGGUGGCUAGAGUUCGGGAGAGGAGAGUGGAAUUCCCAGUGUAGAGGUGAAAUUCGUAGAUAUUGGGAAGAACACCGGUGGCGAAGGCGGCUCUCUGGACCGAGACUGACGCUGAGGCGCGAAAGCGUGGGGAGCAAACAGG